Long non-coding RNA from Homo sapiens (human), 775 nucleotides. Lineage: Eukaryota; Metazoa; Chordata; Mammalia; Primates; Hominidae. The record is from Ensembl.
CUCUGUUUUCCAGUAGAACACCAAUAGCAGGAGUGCAAGAAUGACGUUCUGUCUGCUGGGAGCCUCGUUAGGUCAUCAUUAUCCCUAGCCUGGAUUAGACAGAUGUGUUUCUAAAACGUACAUCUGCGCAAAACCCUUCAGUGGUCCCUCUUUUUACUCAGGUCGCUCUUUUUACUCAGUCAAACUCCUUUAUGUCGCUUCCAAGGCCCUGCAUGAUCUGGCCCCAACUUCUUCUGUCCUUACCCCCCAUCUUCUUCAACCUUCAUCUAGACCGAAAUACCACUCAGUGUAAUAAAAGGGCUGACCCUCUUGCCUACAAGUCUCCAGAUAUGCUCUACCCAUUUUUUCUGGUAGAGACAACUCCUAUUAAUUCUUCAGCUCUUGGCUGAUAGAUUGCCUGCUUGAUUCAUUAACUUGUUCACUCAUCCCCGUUCUAGUUGCCAGGAACUACCCUGAGUGCUGAGGAACAGUGAACAAGACAGACCCGGCCUGCCCUCCCCCGCCCCGCAUCUGUCUCCUCCGUGUUGUCUUCCCUCACCAGCCUCACCUCCAGGCUGAAUUAGUUGUCUCUCCUCUGGGUCCCCUGGCUCUCUGUAAAACUGCUAGUGUUGCCUUAUCACAGUUUUAAUGACACUUAACCUGUCUCUCCCCGCUGCUAGCCUAUGGGCUAUUUGUUGAAUGCAUCUAUGACUCCUCAAAGUACUCUGCUAAGGGUAAUUAAAAGGAAUAGGAUGUUAUGAAUUAGAUGAAAAAUAAAAAUCAAACACUAUUGGAA